GACAGACAUCGAAGGUGAUCGAUCGUUGUAGAAAUCCAACUGUCGGAGUCCGCCCAUCGUAGGAGCUCAUUUGAUAUCCAUCUGCUAUGGGAGUUCGGAUGGAGUCUGUUUCUUGUAGAAGGUCGAAAGGAGACCUCUUAUUGUAGAAGCUCGAUCGAAGAUUGGUUGUCGUGGGAGCUCGGAGUAGCGACCUGGUCGGUGGGUCCUGUCCCAUUGUAGAAGCUUGUCUGGGAUCCGUCCACUGUAGGAGCUCGGCUGAAGUCUGCCUGUA
Molecule: long non-coding RNA, 271 nt
Filed under: Elaeis guineensis (African oil palm)
Lineage: Eukaryota; Viridiplantae; Streptophyta; Magnoliopsida; Arecales; Arecaceae
Description: long non-coding RNA (EGUI_LNC065852)
Source: RNAcentral